CUUCGUUCCAAUUGCCAGUUCUCUUUUUUUGUGGUAAGAGCAGACACAAUCACAGUUACUGAAACAGACUCAAUAGCUGGAGAGAACCCUAUAUAGACGCACAGAGGAGAGAAAUGGUAGGGGCAUUUUGGGGAACAAGAAUAAUAGAGAUAGUGAAGAAGCAUGACUCAGGAGGUCUAGUAUGGAAAAGGAUAAAGCUCACCACUACCCGUAAAGCCAACGCCAAGAAGCGACUCCUUAGGGUUUGGCAGAAUGAAGCUGUGUUGAAGGCAUGUGCUGAACCACCACCUUCAAAAACUUCUAUAGCUGAUGCUGCUGGAGUUGCAGAGAAAGAUGGCCUCAACACCCAAAUUUAACUUGUGAAAUGAGUGAGAAUAAAUCUCAAGGAUGUCUUAUGGUUGCAAGUAUGGGGAAGCCAGUUUUUGUGCCUGUGUCUAUCUAGGAUUAUGUGUUUUAGGCUCUGAUUUUAGUUUCUCUAUCACUCCAAUUUAAAAGGGUUUAUAGAUUUUGUAACAUUUCUCUUUAACACAGAUGGAAUUUUAGUUGUUUUUUUUUUCUUUUGAAUAAAAGUCUAUAUUGGCCUUUGUACUGAUGGUAACUUGCGUGAUCUGGUUCAUGCCAUUAAUUUUGUGCUGUUUGAUUGCUAGAUCACUUUGCAAUUAUCUAUACAUGCAAAAAGGAAAGAGGUUCUGUUCAGCAGACUAUGCAAGUAUAUGCAACCAUGAGUUUUCAUUUGUGUCAUUGAAACAAG
This 751-nucleotide unclassified non-coding RNA is filed under the name Hevea brasiliensis (rubber tree). The record is from RNAcentral. Lineage: Eukaryota; Viridiplantae; Streptophyta; Magnoliopsida; Malpighiales; Euphorbiaceae.